This 445-nucleotide ribosomal RNA is filed under the name uncultured bacterium. RNAcentral's name for it is "partial 16S ribosomal RNA". It matches the Rfam family "Bacterial small subunit ribosomal RNA", at positions 354 to 796 of the family's 1533-position model. The record is from RNAcentral.
GUGAGGAAUAUUGCGCAAUGGAGGCAACUCUGACGCAGCCAUGCCGCGUGCAGGAAGAAGGCGCUACGCGUUGUAAACUGCUUUUAACCGGGAAGAAACCCCAGGACGUGUCCUGGGUUGACGGUACCGGAGGAAUAAGCACCGGCUAACUUCGUGCCAGCAGCCGCGGUAAUACGAAGGGUGCAAGCGUUAUCCGGAGUCAUUGGGUUUAAAGGGUGCGGAGGCGGAGCGUUAAGUCAGUGGUGAAAUCCUGCAGCUUACCUGUAGACUUGCCAUUGGUACUGGCGCUCUUGAGUGCGCUUGAAGUGGGCGGAAUGUGCCGUGUAGCGGUGAAAUGCUUAGAUAUGGCACAGAACACCAAUUGCGAAGGCAGCUCACUAAGGCGAUACUGACGCUGAGGCACGAAAGCGUGGGGAUCGAACAGGAUUAGAUACCCUGGUAGUCC